RNAcentral lists this long non-coding RNA (390 nucleotides) under Bos indicus x Bos taurus (hybrid cattle). Its description in RNAcentral is "lncRNA (ENSBIXG00000029509.1)". The record is from RNAcentral. Lineage: Eukaryota; Metazoa; Chordata; Mammalia; Artiodactyla; Bovidae.
AAUAUAGUUGGGGUGCAGAUACAGGCCUUCCCCUAGGGAAACACUUGCAUCAGUAUUAGUGAGAGACCAAGUACACAUCUGAAGCAUUCCUGUGCUUUCUGUCCCCUUGUCAGGUGAAGUUGCCGACGUAUGACUGUCCAUCAGCCAGGAGAUGAACCCCCACCCGUGAGGCAGUGACUCAAGGUGGCAAGGGAGUCCCGGCAAGAAGUGUGGCGCACCCGAGUUGCUGCACUGCUUUUUGGAUCACCCAGCACGGUCUUCUGAAGUCUUCCUGAAAGCAUCCCUGGUGAUCUGUGAGCCCUUGGUCGUGUUGCCCGCCUUCUUCCUGUGGGUCUUGCUGGAUGCUCAUUGUCCCUGUGAGCCGAGGCCCUGGAGGCUUCAGAUUUAGGU